RNAcentral lists this ribosomal RNA (490 nucleotides) under uncultured bacterium. RNAcentral describes it as "partial 16S ribosomal RNA". It matches the Rfam family "Bacterial small subunit ribosomal RNA", at positions 30 to 507 of the family's 1533-position model. The record is from RNAcentral.
AUUGAACGCUGGCGGCAGGCCUAACACAUGCAAGUCGAACGGUAACAGGAAACAGCUUGCUGUUUCGCUCGCCAGUGGGGGAAGGAAGAGCUAUGACUCGGGCACUGCGUGAUGGAGAAGGUUCACAACUGGGAACGGUAGCCAACUCCGCCUUAAGUCGCAAACCCGCAGAGGUGGGGCCUCCAGCCUCUCGCCAUUGGUUGUGCCCAGCUGGCAUAUGCGUGUGGGUGAGGUAACGCGUCACGAAGGCGAUGAUCCGUUGCUGGUCUGAGAGGAUGAUGAGCCACACUGGAACUGUGAGACGGGCCAGACUCCUACGGGAGGCAGCAGUGGAGAAUAUUGCACAAAGGGCGAAAGCCUGAUACAGCCAUGCCGCGUUUAUGAAGAAGGCCUUCGGGUUGUAAAGUACUUUCAGUGGGGAGGAAGGGAAUUAAGUGAAUACCUUGCCUUAUUGACGUUACCCGCAGAAAAAGCACCGGCUAACUUCGUG